Molecule: long non-coding RNA, 339 nt
Filed under: Homo sapiens (human)
Lineage: Eukaryota; Metazoa; Chordata; Mammalia; Primates; Hominidae
Description: non-protein coding lnc-ZNF366-4:1
Source: RNAcentral
GCUGCCAUGUUGGCAGCAGCUCUGUGGAAAGGCCCAUGUGGCAAGGAAUUGAGAAAUCUUGCCAACAGCCCAUGAGAAACUGAGGCCUCAAGUCCACAGCCAGAAUCUUAAAUGCUUGUGUGCAGCCACCAUCCUGACAAAUGAUUCAACAAAUGAUUCAAAGAGAAAAACCAGAAUACAAUUAUUUUGAUAGACACGUAAAACUGAAAAUCAAAUAUCCACAGAUGAAACUUCACCUUCAAGGAAAAUCGCCAACAGUGGUAAAGAGCUGCACAACACUUGAAGUUUUCUCCUGCAGCUUUGAUUGAACAAGCACCAGUAGGAGGGACUAAAAAUAAA